This 253-nucleotide ribosomal RNA is filed under the name uncultured bacterium. Its description in RNAcentral is "partial 16S ribosomal RNA". It matches the Rfam family "Bacterial small subunit ribosomal RNA", at positions 524 to 776 of the family's 1533-position model. The record is from RNAcentral.
UACGUAGGGUGCGAGCGUUGUCCGGAAUUAUUGGGCGUAAAGGGCUCGUAGGCGGUUUGUCACGUCGGGAGUGAAAACUCGGGGCUUAACCCCGAGCCUGCUUCCGAUACGGGCAGACUAGAGGUAUGCAGGGGAGAACGGAAUUCCUGGUGUAGCGGUGAAAUGCGCAGAUAUCAGGAGGAACACCGGUGGCGAAGGCGGUUCUCUGGGCAUGUCCUGACGCUGAGGAGCGAAAGUGUGGGGAGCGAACAGG